AUGCUCUGCCAGAACCUCCCGCGCGGAGGGAAAGGACGGGGUGAUCCUGCCGCUGCUCUCGAGCUUGGUGGGGGAGGGGGAGGAGGAGGCGGGGCGAAAUCCCGGCGACGGUGUGUGGGCUCAAGCGGCAACGACGGUACAUCCAGUGAGAGCUCGGUGUCUGGAUGGGGGCGAGGUCGGGAUGUUUCAUCGAGAGCCUCGCAGAAGAGAAAAGAAAACAGAGGAGAUAAGGCUGCGAGCGAGCGAGCGAAAAAAGAAAAGGCUGCGAGCGAGCGACCGAAAGAAAAGGCUGGAAGCGAGCGCCAGCGAGCUGGCUGGUUUCUUCUAGCCAGCCAACGUGUUAGCUGGCUAACGUGGCACAGCAUACAUCGACUGUUUUUAAAUAAAGUGCAUUCUGGAUCCUUGCGUGGAUGUUUUUAUAGUCUUUUUUUUAAGGUUAGAGCAUACGUGGAUGGAUAA
RNAcentral lists this ribosomal RNA (459 nucleotides) under Triticum aestivum (bread wheat). RNAcentral describes it as "partial small subunit ribosomal RNA". Lineage: Eukaryota; Viridiplantae; Streptophyta; Magnoliopsida; Poales; Poaceae. The record is from RNAcentral.